This 553-nucleotide ribosomal RNA is filed under the name uncultured fungus. Its description in RNAcentral is "eukaryotic LSU rRNA". The stretch from base 186 to 340 matches the Rfam family "5.8S ribosomal RNA". Lineage: Eukaryota; Fungi. The record is from RNAcentral.
AAGUCGUAACAAGGUCUCCGUUGGUGAACCAGCGGAGGGAUCAUUACUGAGUACUACACUCUCUACCCUUUGUGAACUAUUAUACCUGUUGCUUCGGCGGCGCCCGCAAGGGUGCCCGCCGGUCUCAUCAGAAUCUCUGUUUUCGAACCCGACGAUACUUCUGAGUGUUCUUAGCGAACUGUCAAAACUUUUAACAACGGAUCUCUUGGCUCCAGCAUCGAUGAAGAACGCAGCGAAACGCGAUAUGUAAUGUGAAUUGCAGAAUUCAGUGAAUCAUCGAAUCUUUGAACGCACAGUGGCGCCUUCCAGUAUCCUGGGAGGCAUGCCUGUCCGAGCGUCGUUUCAACCCUCGAGCCCCUGUGGCCCGGCGUUGGGGAUCUGCCACGGCAGGCCCCUAAAACCAGUGGCGGACCCGAAGGGCCCUCUCCUUUGCGCAGUAGCAUUCGCCUCGCAUCGGGAGUCCUCGGCGUCCUGCCUCUAAACCCCCCCACAAGCCCGCUUCGGCGGCACCAAGGUUGACCUCGGAUCAGGUAGGAAUACCCGCUGAACUUAA